AUUGAACGCUGGCGGCAGGCCUAACACAUGCAAGUCGAACGAGUGGCGGACGGGUGAGUAAUGUCUGGGAAACUGCCUGAUGGAGGGGGAUAACUACUGGAAACGGUAGCUAAUACCGCAUACCAUCAGAUGUGCCCAGAUUGGAUUAGCUAGUAGGUGGGGUAAUGGCUCACCUAGGCGACGAUCCCUAGCUGGUCUGAGAGGAUGACCAGCGACGCUGGAACUGAGACACGGUCCAGACGCCUACGGGAGGCAGCAGUGGGGAGUAGUGCACAAUUGGCGCACGCCUGGUUCAGCCAUGCCGCGUGUGUGAAGCCGGCCUUCGGGUUGUACAGCACUUUCAGCGGUGAGGCGUUACCCGCAGAAGAAGCACCGGCUAACUCCGUGCCAGCCGCCGCGGUAAUUC
Molecule: ribosomal RNA, 406 nt
Filed under: uncultured bacterium
Lineage: Bacteria
Description: partial 16S ribosomal RNA
Rfam family: Bacterial small subunit ribosomal RNA
Source: RNAcentral